UUAAUUUCAUGAUUUUUAGAGCCCAUUUGAAUUUAUGUGAUUAUUUAUCUGUGCUUGUCGUCUGUGUCGGUCGUCGCGUAUUUUAGCUGACGGAGUGAACGAGCCGGAGAACGAGAACGUUGGAGACGAGUACCGCGAGUUUGACGCCGAGGACCCGGACUGUCAGCAAGAGUUUGCUGAGGACGCCGACGGAGGCAAGUCCAACCGAUCCCCUUUGAUGCAUAUUGAUCCUAUUUUUAAACACAACCCAUAGAAGUCGUUUUAAAUAUUGCAUGUACCAUAUAUGUACGAAGUAUUUUCGCUGCUUAGGCCCUGUUUAGUUCUCCACCCA
RNAcentral lists this long non-coding RNA (331 nucleotides) under Sorghum bicolor (sorghum). RNAcentral describes it as "long non-coding RNA (SBIC_LNC006987)". The record is from RNAcentral. Lineage: Eukaryota; Viridiplantae; Streptophyta; Magnoliopsida; Poales; Poaceae.